This 253-nucleotide ribosomal RNA is filed under the name uncultured bacterium. RNAcentral describes it as "partial 16S ribosomal RNA". It matches the Rfam family "Bacterial small subunit ribosomal RNA", at positions 524 to 776 of the family's 1533-position model. The record is from RNAcentral.
UACGUAGGGUGCAAGCGUUGUCCGGAAUUAUUGGGCGUAAAGAGCUCGUAGGCGGUUUGUUGCGUCGGCUGUGAAAUCCCGAGGCUCAACCUCGGGUCUGCAGUCGAUACGAGCAAACUAGAGUGUUGCAGGGGAGACUGGAAUUCCUGGUGUAGCGGUGAAAUGCGCAGAUAUCGGGAGGAACACCAGUGGCGAAGGCGGCUCACUGGACCGGUACUGACGCUGAUGCGCGAAAGCGUGGGGAGCAAACGGG